This is a long non-coding RNA of Anthonomus grandis grandis, 421 nucleotides long. RefSeq lists it as uncharacterized. NCBI's taxonomy places the organism in Eukaryota, Metazoa, Arthropoda, Insecta, Coleoptera, Curculionidae. The transcript is spliced from 3 exons. The record is from RefSeq and is a predicted model, not a curated record.
UAUAUGUUCGUGAAUGUGAAUGAGGCAAUUAGUAGAAUUUUUGCCUCCCCAGAAUCCGUAGAGCUGACUGACAGAUCAGUGUGAGAUUCUGAGAUAACAACUCUACUUACCAGGAGUAUUAUUCUUUGACGAUUGGACAUCUCACGGUUAAUUUACUCAGCCGAUCACUGUGGGUCCGAUGCUACGGAUUUUCGCCGUACCACAACCAUUGAGAAUUGCUCCAGUCAUGGUAGUCCAAUUUCAAGCCGAUCCAGGAUCAUUUUCUAUGCACCUUGAGCUGGUACUGGUAAUCAAUGCUAUCCUUCACCGGGGAGGAUGGAUAAUAGAAAAUCCUACUACCCUAGAAGAUUGAGGGCAAGCGAGGUCCUGGACGUAGGCGUAUAUCCUAGAUGGCCAAUCUUACAAAAACCUUUUAAAAUCU